RNAcentral lists this ribosomal RNA (467 nucleotides) under uncultured bacterium. Its description in RNAcentral is "partial 16S ribosomal RNA". It matches the Rfam family "Bacterial small subunit ribosomal RNA", at positions 28 to 507 of the family's 1533-position model. The record is from RNAcentral.
GACGAACGCUGGCGGCGUGCUUAACACAUGCAAGUCGAACGGAAAGGCCCUGCUUUUGUGGGGUGCUCGAGUGGCGAACGGGUGAGUAACACGUGAGUAACCUGCCCUUGACUUUGGGAUAACUUCAGGAAACUGGGGCUAAUACCGGAUAGGAGCUCCUGCUGCAUGGUGGGGGUUGGAAAGUUUCGGCGGUUGGGGAUGGACUCGCGGCUUAUCAGCUUGUUGGUGGGGUAGUGGCUUACCAAGGCUUUGACGGGUAGCCGGCCUGGGAGGGUGCCGGCCACAUUGGGACUGAGAUACGGCCCAGACUCCUACGGGAGGCAGCAGUGGGGAAUAUUGCACAAUGGGCGGAAGCCUGAUGCAGCAACGCCGCGUGCGGGAUGACGGCCUUCGGGUUGUAAACCGCUUUCGCCUGUGACGAAGCGUGAGUGACGGUAAUGGGUAAAGAAGCACCGGCUAACUACGUG